AGCUUGGCCUUGAAUGCUUCCAGGGAGGGGCAUCCACAGUCCCUCCGGGCGACCUGUUCCAGUGUCUCACCACACUCACAGUAAAGAUUUUCUUCCUGAUGUCACAUGCUAAAAUGUCCUCAGAUUAAACAUCUAUCAAAAUCGCUCUUUUGAUUUUUAAGGAACAUAUGUGGUAGGUGCAUCAGGAGGAGACACUGUCAGACACAAUCUUUCUGAAGGAGUAGUUUCUGAAAAGAGGUUGAUGGAUGUACAUCAAAUUGCUGAUCUGCAAAGGCACUGCAAACCUAUGUUGAACCAUAUCCAGGAUGACAAGAUACUCUCAGCCUUUAAAUCUUGUGGUCUUGCUUGGAGAAAGUCACUGAGAUUAACACCUGCACUAUGUGAUUUAUCUCAGUCUGGAGUGACUGUGAUCCUUAAUACUUCCUUUACCAAAGGUUCAACUGGGCAUCUAUCCAGCUAAUUAAUUUCCUUUUACACAGCUGAAGCUUGAAGAAAUCAGCUCCAGCCACAGGAAAAAAUGCUGUGUAUAAGAAAUCCAACCUUCUAAUAUUAGGACCUAUAAAACUAAGUCAUAAGUAAUUGAGAUGCCACUGCGAAGAUCUCAUUGCUAAACUCUGGUGAACAGUAGCAAACAGUACACUUAAGCAUUGGGACAAUAUAUGGUGUUGUUAUAUAGCCAGUGCUGAGCUAAGGGUGAAAUGAUAUUGUAAAUACAGAGGAAAAACAGACGAGACAAUAACAAAGCAAGUAUGAAAACAGAGAACAUCUUGUGCUCUUCUGGAAUUUUUCAGUGACUGCUCUUUCAUCUAUUUCUUCUGUUACAUACAAAAAUGAUAUGGAUGAGGAGCGGCAGCAGCAAAGAGAUUCUAGCUCAAUCUGUACCUUGCAUUCAGCUUUGUGAAAAACAAACUCUGGCAUAAUUUAACAGAAAAUUGGACACAACAGUCCACAAAGACUGAUCGGCAUCAUGGUUCUUAUGUACAGCUGAGGCUCUACCUUUUUCCAGUAAAUGAAUAUCUGUAUUUGGUGAAAAAAGGAUGCAGGUCCUGAUAUUUGGGUCAAUGCAGGUGUUGGUUGGACUGUAGAUUUCUGUAAUUUUUAAUAAUAUAUGAUGAUCCAGUUAUGAGUUUGUUGUAGGGAAAGUCCUGCUUUUGUUCAUUUUUCUAAGUGUGAAGCUAGGAAUGAGAUUAUUUGGACAAUCGUUGUGUCUCAGUUUUGACUGCUGCUAGAAAAAUCAUUUUUACUCAUAAAAGACAAAGGUAAGAUGAAGUGUUGACUUCAGGGAUUCUGUUUGACCUCACAUUUUUUAGUUGCAAAGGUCAUCUGACUCUUGGGUUUACAGCUGUCGACAUCAUACAGCCUUUGAUUUGCCUACAAAGGUCAUCCUCAACUAGACUACAGCAAGAGGCAACUCUGUUGUUUCUCGCUUUCUUGCGGACACAUGUGUGGUGUCAAUCAUGCUAGCAGAGUCUGCAUUGAAAAGUUUCUGGCAGUGGCUGUCCUCCUCUCUGCACUGGGCUGAACACUGCUCUCAUGCCAUAAAUAGCUCUAAGACUUACAUUCAAGUAGAGCUGCUUAUUUCCACUGACUAGUGUUAAUGAAGUUACUCAUAAAAAAAUAAACUUUACCUCUAGCUAGACUGAGGGCUGUAAAUGCCUAGCAGAGUUACUACCAUAAGUGAAAGCUUGCAAGUUAGUUCAUUGCAAGUUGUGAGGUACUGGCUUCUCCCAGGGAAGCAGUGAAGUAAAAAUUUCCUAAGAAGUUUGUAGAUACAUCCAAGAGACGAUGCCUUGGUGUGUUUAUGCCACUGGUGGUAAUGUGCUAUCUGUCUCAGUAAGGCUGAUAUCUAAUCAAAUUACCAUAGGAGAUCCUACAUUAAACAGCACAGUUCUCAGGAGUGUAUCAGAAAUAUUGAACACGUUGCUCACUUUCACUCUGUACAUUAUGUUUUACCUAGAAAAGCUGAUGCAUUUUUUUGUGCAGAAAGAUCAUCUUGGCAUAGCAG
Gallus gallus (chicken) is the source of this 2005-nucleotide long non-coding RNA. Lineage: Eukaryota; Metazoa; Chordata; Aves; Galliformes; Phasianidae. The record is from Ensembl.